AACACAAAUCUACAAGGGAUGUGCAUCUUCCUCCCUGUGUCCAGCCGUAACCUCUCAGACAUUUUCAGUCGACCUGGGUUUUCAAAGUGCUCUGGCUUCUGCUCAAUGCUGCAACACAGAUAACUGCAACUCAGCAACUCUACCAAAUCCUGCUUCUCAGUCAAAUAAUGGCGGAGUAUGCAACUUUUGUGACCCUUCUACUGGUCAGUGCUCCUCCACAUUACAGUGUCAGGGAGUGGAGAACCAAUGCUUCCAAUCAACCAUCAAAAGCAGCACCAGCACGUAUCCAGGUUACGGCUGCGCAUCUGCAAACCUGUGCGCAGCUGCUUCGAGCCUGGGUUCUCUACCUUUCAUGCAGAGUGUUGGUACCGUAUCAGGUGUUGCCUGUUCUGCAGCACCAACUACAACUGCUGCCCCA
Long non-coding RNA from Oreochromis aureus, 418 nucleotides. Lineage: Eukaryota; Metazoa; Chordata; Actinopteri; Cichliformes; Cichlidae. The record is from Ensembl.